This 449-nucleotide ribosomal RNA is filed under the name uncultured bacterium. RNAcentral's name for it is "bacterial SSU rRNA". It matches the Rfam family "Bacterial small subunit ribosomal RNA", at positions 328 to 793 of the family's 1533-position model. The record is from RNAcentral.
UUUCCAGACUCCUACGGGAGGCAGCAGUGGGGAAUAUUGCACAAUGGGGGAAACCCUGAUGCAGCGACGCCGCGUGGGCGACGAAGCGCUCCGGCGCGUAAAGCCCUGUCAGCAGGGAAGAAAAAAGACAGUACCUGACCAAGAAGCCCCGGCUAACUACGUGCCAGCAGCCGCGGUAAUACGUAGGGGGCAAGCGUUAUCCGGAUUCACUGGGCGUAAAGGGAGCGCAGGCGGCACGGCAAGUCUGGUGUGAAAGCCCGGGGCCCAACCCCGGGACUGCUCUGGAAACUGCGUCGCUGGAGUACGGGAGGGGCAGGCGGAAUUCCUGGUGUAGCGGUGAAAUGCGUAGAUAUCAGGAGGAACACCGGCGGCGAAGGCGGCCUGCUGGACCGUGACUGACGUUGAGGCUCGAGAGCGUGGGGAGCAAACAGGAUUAGAUACCCCAGUAU